AGAACGAACGCUGGCGGCAUGCCUAACACAUGCAAGUCGAACGAGACCUUCGGGUCUAGUGGCGCACGGGUGCGUAACGCGUGGGAACCUGCCUUUAGGUUCGGAAUAACUCCCCGAAAGGGGUGCUAAUACCGAAUAAUGUCUUCGGACCAAAGAUUUAUCGCCUUUAGAUGGGCCCGCGUUGGAUUAGCUAGUUGGUGGGGUAAAGGCCUACCAAGGCGACGAUCCAUAGCUGGUCUUAGAGGAUGAUCAGCCACACUGGGACUGAGACACGGCCCAGACUCCUACGGGAGGCAGCAGUGGGGAAUAUUGGACAAUGGGCGAAAGCCUGACCCAGCAAUGCCGCGUGAGUGAUGAAGGCCUUAGGGUUGUAAAGCUCUUUUACCCGGGAUGAUAAUGACAGUACCGGGAGAAUAAGCUCCGGCUAACUCCGUGCUAGCAGCCGC
This 446-nucleotide ribosomal RNA is filed under the name uncultured soil bacterium. RNAcentral's name for it is "bacterial SSU rRNA". It matches the Rfam family "Bacterial small subunit ribosomal RNA", at positions 26 to 518 of the family's 1533-position model. The record is from RNAcentral.